GACGAACGCUGGCGGCGUGCUUAACACAUGCAAGUCGAACGGAAAGGCCUCAGCUUGCUGGGGUACUCGAGUGGCGAACGGGUGAGUAACACGUGGGUGAUCUGCCUUGCACUCUGGGAUAAGCUUGGGAAACUGGGUCUAAUACCAGAUAUGAACUGCCUUUAGUGUGGUGGUUGGAAAGUUUUUUCGGUGCAAGAUGAGCUCGCGGCCUAUCAGCUUGUUGGUGGGGUAAUGGCCUACCAAGGCGUCGACGGGUAGCCGGCCUGAGAGGGUGUACGGCCACAUUGGGACUGAGAUACGGCCCAGACUCCUACGGGAGGCAGCAGUGGGGAAUAUUGCACAAUGGGCGGAAGCCUGAUGCAGCGACGCCGCGUGGGGGAUGACGGCCUUCGGGUUGUAAACUCCUUUCGACAGGGACGAAGCUUUUUGUGACGGUACCUGUAUAAGAAGCACCGGCUAACUACGUG
Molecule: ribosomal RNA, 467 nt
Filed under: uncultured bacterium
Lineage: Bacteria
Description: partial 16S ribosomal RNA
Rfam family: Bacterial small subunit ribosomal RNA
Source: RNAcentral